UAUUAAAAAUUUCAUUCAUUUCUACUGUUAAAAACUGGUAUGUCUGGCAAAAUAACCAAUGACACGUGCGUACCCCUCAUGUUGACAUAUAAAGACUUAGUUUUUAAUAGUAGAAAUGGAUAAUUUUUUUAACA
This is a non-coding RNA of Gossypium raimondii (Peruvian cotton), 134 nucleotides long. The record is from Rfam. Lineage: Eukaryota; Viridiplantae; Streptophyta; Magnoliopsida; Malvales; Malvaceae.